This 373-nucleotide ribosomal RNA is filed under the name uncultured organism. Its description in RNAcentral is "partial 16S ribosomal RNA". It matches the Rfam family "Bacterial small subunit ribosomal RNA", at positions 527 to 896 of the family's 1533-position model. The record is from RNAcentral.
GGAGGGUGCAAGCGUUGUUCGGAAUUACUGGGCGUAAAGCGCGUGUAGGCGGUUCGCUAAGUCUGAUGUGAAAGCCCGAGGCCCACCCUCGGAAGUGCAUUGGAUACUGGUGAGCUAGAGUCCCGGAGAGGAGGGUGGAAUUCCUGGUGUAGCGGUGAAAUGCGUAGAUAUCAGGAGGAACACCGGCGGCGAAGGCGGCCCUCUGGACGGUGACUGACGCUGAGACGCGAAAGCGUGGGGAGCAAACAGGGAUUAGAUACCCUGGUAGUCCACGCCGUAAACGAUGAGCACUAGGUGUCGCGGGUAUUGACCCCCUGCGGUGCCGACGCUAACGCAUUAAGUGCUCCGCCCUGGGAGUACGGUCGCAAGAUUA